RNAcentral lists this ribosomal RNA (514 nucleotides) under uncultured bacterium. RNAcentral describes it as "partial 16S ribosomal RNA". It matches the Rfam family "Bacterial small subunit ribosomal RNA", at positions 28 to 523 of the family's 1533-position model. The record is from RNAcentral.
GAUGAACGCUGGCGGCGUGCCUAAUACAUGCAAGUCGAGCGAAUGGAUUAAGAGCUUGCUCUUAUGAAGUUAGCGGCGGACGGGUGAGUAACACGUGGGUAACCUGCCCAUAAGACUGGGAUAACUCCGGGAAACCGGGGCUAAUCCCGGAUAACAUUUUGAACCGCAUGGUUCGAAAUUGAAAGGCGGCUUCGGCCGUCACUUAUGGAUGGACCCGCGUCGCAUUAGCUAGUUGGUGAGGUAACGGCUCACCAAGGCAACGAUGCGUAGCCGACCUGAGAGGGUGAUCGGCCACACUGGGACUGAGACACGGCCCAGACUCCUACGGGAGGCAGCAGUAGGGAAUCUUCCGCAAUGGACGAAAGUCUGACGGAGCAACGCCGCGUGAGUGAUGAAGGCUUUCGGGUCGUAAACUCUGUUGUUAGGGAAGAACAAGUGCUAGUUGAAUAAGCUGGCACCUUGACGGUACCUAACCAGAAAGCCACGGCUAACUACGUGCCAGCCGCCGCGGUAA